UGCCUGGUUGCCUCGUGCUCCCCUUGGCUGCCUCCUGGUGCCCCUCUAUGGCCUAUAAUUCACAUAUAUUCCGAAAAACCUAGAGAUCCUCCUAAAACACUUUUUCCACCGCCGUAAGUCUCUGUUCUGCCGUGUGCUCAUCUCGAGCCUGUUUUGGUGCCCUGUCGGAGGGGGAGGGGGUCAAUCACGGAGGGCCUCUAUAUCAUCCUUGCUGCUCCCAUGGUGAUGUGUGAGUAGUUCACCACAGACCUACGGGUCCCUAGUUAAUACCUAGAUGGCUCUCUCUCUCUUGAUCUUCAAUACAAUGAUCAUCGCAUCUUUGAUUUGAUGUAUCUGAUGUAAUUCUUUUGUGCGAUGCGUUUGUUGGGACCCGAUGAAUUGUGGGUUUAUGUUCAGAUUAUUCAUGAUUAUUCAUCAUGAUAAAUUGUGUAAAUGUGAUGUUCAGAUUAUUCAUGAUAAACCC
This 463-nucleotide long non-coding RNA is filed under the name Hordeum vulgare. RNAcentral's name for it is "long non-coding RNA (HVUL_LNC016471)". The record is from RNAcentral. Lineage: Eukaryota; Viridiplantae; Streptophyta; Magnoliopsida; Poales; Poaceae.